This is a long non-coding RNA of Syngnathoides biaculeatus (alligator pipefish), 1339 nucleotides long. RefSeq lists it as uncharacterized. The record is from RefSeq and is a predicted model, not a curated record. The transcript has 3 exons. NCBI's taxonomy places the organism in Eukaryota, Metazoa, Chordata, Actinopteri, Syngnathiformes, Syngnathidae.
AACCCAACAGAAAACAUUUCAAUCUACAUUUGAUCUAAUAUGCACACAAGCCUAAAACUUACGUGUAAUGGGAAAUGCCAUAGAGGGACUAACAAAAUAGCCUCUGUGUUGCAGUGCUAUAAGUUUUCUCCAGGUGGGCACUCCGGAUUCCUCCCACAUCCCAAAAAACACGCACUUAUUGGAGAUUCUAAAUUGUCCCAAGGUGCGAUUGCGAGUGCGGCUGUUUUUCUCGAUGUGCCCUGCGAUUGGCCGGCGACCCGUUCAGGGUGUACCCGGCCUCCUGCCCCGUUGACAGCCGGGAUAGGCUCCAGCACUCCCCGCGACCCUUGUGAGGAUAAGCGGGUGGCAUAAUAGACGGAUAGGAUGACUUGACGGGUGUUUUUGAAUCCAUCCGUCUUGGAUUGACACUUUUAAGAUUGCAGCCCACCCCGUGCGACAAGCAGCUCUGAAAGGUUGAGCGAGAAGCACCACGACAGCACCGGCGAGAUGACGUCUGCACCAGCGACCGCCGCAGUGGACUGAAGACGCGUCAUCGCUGAGCGUCGGGACAAUCUGUACAAAACGUUACGUUCUGACGGGCUCAUGUGACACCAGCGAGUCAGCGACUGGAGAAGUUUUUGGGUGCAGGGUGCGUCGCUUCUUACCGAUGGACAUUGGCAGGGGCCUGGUGAGACUCAACAAGCGGAGCCAAACAUCAGACUCGUGCCUCCUUCCGCCGCCAUCUUGUUUGAUUUCUGUUCUAAGAUCUCCGUCGCCCCCUGCUGGCUUGCCCGUCAAGCGCAAUCAAGCGCCCUUGUCGGAUGCUAACGCUAAUGCGCCGCCGGCAGUCAUAAAUCAUGAUGUAAAUUAGCUAAGUGUAGAAAGGCUCACUCACAAACAUAUUUUCAGAUAUAGGCAGAUAACAAAAGACAAUUUGGUUGUUUAAUUUCACAAUUUGAUGUGUGGAUAUCGCGAAAGACAUUUGGAUGCUGUUUCUGCCUUUUGUAUACAAUCCACAUUAAACAAGUCAAUAAGGUUCCAAUUAGUGACACACAAGAUGGCGGACAAAGGCAUCCUGGGACUGUGGUGACGUCCACGGAAAUCUAUUUAUUGUAUUGAAUAUUGAGCCACAGAACGAUUUUUUUUUUAUUAUGCGUUUGUUGUUGUUUUUAUUUAGGCAUUUUGAUAUCCAGGAUUAUUUUGAUGACAGCAAUGGAUUCAUUUAUGACCUCAAGGGCAUUUGUGGCUCAUAAUUUUUUUUUAAUCAGUCAUAAAUAAAUCAUAAAAUUGCCGGCAUAGCGCUACUUUCUACAUUGGUUGGUGAGGCCGGAAAAAUGCAAAAAAUAAAAUAAAAAAUUAU